AAGGCGUGGGGGCUGCCUUACACAUGCAGUCGACGAUGAAGCCCAGCUUGCUGGGUGGAUUAGUGGCGAACGGGUGAGUAACACGUGAGUAACCUGCCCUUAACUCUGGGAUAAGCCUGGGAAACUGGGUCUAAUACCGGAUAGGAGCGUCCACCGCAUGGUGGGUGUUGGAAAGAUUUAUCGGUUUUGGAUGGACUCGCGGCCUAUCAGCUUGUUGGUGAGGUAAUGGCUCACCAAGGCGACGACGGGUAGCCGGCCUGAGAGGGUGACCGGCCACACUGGGACUGAGACACGGCCCAGACUCCUACGGGAGGCAGCAGUGGGGAAUAUUGCACAAUGGGCGAAAGCCUGAUGCAGCGACGCCGCGUGAGGGAUGACGGCCUUCGGGUUGUAAACCUCUUUCAGUAGGGAAGAAGCGAAAGUGACGGUACCUGCAGAAGAAGCACCGGCUAACUACGUGCCAGCAGCCGCGGUAAUACGUAGGGUGCGAGCGUUAUCCGGAAUUAUUGGGCGUAAAGAGCUCGUAGGCGGUUUGUCGCGUCUGUCGUGAAAGUCCGGGGCUUAACCCCGGAUCUGCGGUGGGUACGGGCAGACUAGAGUGCAGUAGGGGAGACUGGAAUUCCUGGUGUAGCGGUGGAAUGCGCAGAUAUCAG
Molecule: ribosomal RNA, 653 nt
Rfam family: Bacterial small subunit ribosomal RNA